AUUUAAUGAGGGCUCCACUUUCCCCGCAGCAGGCGUGUGCUGCUGUUACUGGUCUUUGCCACUUUGAUUGAGACAGACGGACUGGGGAUUUCUCCAUCACUGUUGCACAUAAGAAGAGUGGUGAUAGGAAGAGUGGACACAGCAGUGUUCAUACCAGGCACUGUCCUGGAGCCAGUGAUGCCAGAGGGAGCAAGCCUCCUACCCUACAAAACUCAUCUCCUGUGACCUUCUAGCCUGAGUCAAGCUGGGAUCGUCAUUGCUCUGUGUGGGCAAGGUUACAUCACAGCUUGGCAGGGUCUGCGGUGCAGGAGAUGGAAGAAGAGAAGACGGCAGCAAUAAAGCAAUUUCUACUGGUUAAAUAGCUUCCUGCCACUGCCUAGGAAUAAGUCAGUGGCCAAAUAAGGGAAUGGACCUUGAAGGAGGGUCGUCGUAAUGCAAUCUAAUGUUUUAGCAAGGGAAAGAAGAGGUCAUGAGGAAUCAAGUUCUACCUCUGGUAAAAAGCCUCUUGCUCCCAGAAGAAAGUCAAGUAGGAACAUACACCUUUGAAUGACAUCUCGCCAUUUACUGAAGUUAUCAUCAUCAGAUCUGUGCUACCUACCCAUUAAAACUUGUCUGGACAUUUUUAAACCUCAA
RNAcentral lists this long non-coding RNA (633 nucleotides) under Mus musculus (house mouse). RNAcentral describes it as "RIKEN cDNA D830032E09 gene". Lineage: Eukaryota; Metazoa; Chordata; Mammalia; Rodentia; Muridae. The record is from RNAcentral.